CGGCAAUGCACUCUAUGGUACUAUUCCUUUAUCCCUCUCAACUCAUAAAUCUUUAAGCAAAUUAGUACUCGCUAGGAAUCAACUCGAAGGACCUAUCCCUUUAUUCAAGCUCGCAUCUAACCUAACUUACCUAGAUCUCUCGCACAACCGAUUCUUCGUACAUAUACCUUUAGAACUCCUAAAAACUAAUAAUAUUAAAUACCUAAAUCUAGGGCACAACAAAAUUUUUGGAUCUUUCCCCAUCGAACACGUAUUAUAUAUCCCUUCC
Schistocerca gregaria is the source of this 268-nucleotide long non-coding RNA. RefSeq lists it as uncharacterized. Lineage: Eukaryota; Metazoa; Arthropoda; Insecta; Orthoptera; Acrididae. The record is from RefSeq and is a predicted model, not a curated record. The transcript is spliced from 4 exons.